AACACUGUUAACCUGCGGUACCUGCGGAGGGAUCAUUACACAAUAAUAUAUGAAGGCUGCUCGCGGCUGGAGUAUUUAUUACCCUUGUCUUUUGCGCACUUGUUGUUUCCUGGGCGGGCUCGCCCGCCACCAGGACCACAUACAAACCUUUUUUAUGUAGUUGCAGUCAGCGUCAGUAUAACAAAUGUAAAUCAUUUACAACUUUUAACAAUGGAUCU
This 218-nucleotide unclassified non-coding RNA is filed under the name soil metagenome. RNAcentral describes it as "partial contains 5.8S ribosomal RNA, internal transcribed spacer 2, and large subunit ribosomal RNA". The record is from RNAcentral.